RNAcentral lists this ribosomal RNA (450 nucleotides) under uncultured Glomeromycotina. RNAcentral describes it as "SSU rRNA". It matches the Rfam family "Eukaryotic small subunit ribosomal RNA", at positions 569 to 1027 of the family's 1831-position model. The record is from RNAcentral. Lineage: Eukaryota; Fungi; Glomeromycota.
AGCAGCCGCGGUAAUUCCAGCUCCAAUAGCGUAUAUUAAAGUUGUUGCAGUUAAAAGCUCGUAGUUGAAUUUCGGGGUUAGUACGCUGGUCGUGCCUUCGGUACGUACUGGUGUUACUGAUUCCUACCUUCUGAAGAACCGUCAUGUCAUUAAUUUGGUGUGGCGGGGAAUCAGGACUGUUACUUUGAAAAAUUGAGUGUUUAAAGCAGGCUCGCGCUUGAAUACAUUAGCAUGGAAUAAUGAAAUAGGACGUUUGAUCCUAUUUUGUUGGUUUCUAGGAUUGACGUAAUGAUUAAUAGGGAUAGUUGGGGGCAUUAGUAUUCAAUUGUCAGAGGUGAAAUUCUUGGAUUUAUUGAAGACUAACUACUGCGAAAGCAUUUGCCAAGGAUGUUUUCAUUAAUCAAGAACGAAAGUUAGGGAUCGAAGACGAUCAGAUACCGUCGUAGUCUU